GCAAGUCGAGCGCACCUUCGGGGGAGCGGCGAACGGGUGAGUAAAACGUAGAUAACGUGCCUUUAGUUGGGGGAUAACUUCGGGAAACUGAAGCUAAUUCCGCAUGUGUCCUUUGGGAUGAAAGCCUUCGGGCGUCUGAAGAGCGGUCUGCGGCCCAUUAUUUAAUCCUUGUUGGUGAGGUAACGGCUCACCAAGGGUACGAUGGGUAGCUGGUCUGAGAGGAUGAUC
Molecule: ribosomal RNA, 228 nt
Filed under: uncultured bacterium
Lineage: Bacteria
Description: partial 16S ribosomal RNA
Rfam family: Bacterial small subunit ribosomal RNA
Source: RNAcentral